Molecule: non-coding RNA, 46 nt
Filed under: Schistosoma mansoni
Lineage: Eukaryota; Metazoa; Platyhelminthes; Trematoda; Strigeidida; Schistosomatidae
Source: RNAcentral
ACACUGCUGAGGAGUCCUACAAUAGAACAAAACGGCCGUCCAGUAC